GGUAUCGAUGUCUCGUCUCUUUCAAUCUGCAUUUCCUCUUGUUGUACAAUAUUGACUGCAGACAAAGCAUUGUUUUCCACAACAUCAACAAUGAAACGGGAAGUCUUGAAAUUUGAAUCAUUUUUCAACAAGUAGAUGCAAGUAGUAACUUCCUCAUCGUUUGUUACUUGCAUUCCUUUGCUUGUUUCUAGAUUCGAGUCAAACCAAAUGUUUGCUUUUAUCUCACCCACUUUCAGUUUUAGAACCUGAAAAAUCUUCUCGACAAGACCUUCAAAUGUUAUCCCAUCAUUCACAAGAAUUAGCUUGAUCUCAUGAUCCAAAUACUUGUUAUCUGUAGUCCAUUUGCCAUU
Molecule: unclassified non-coding RNA, 350 nt
Filed under: Hevea brasiliensis (rubber tree)
Lineage: Eukaryota; Viridiplantae; Streptophyta; Magnoliopsida; Malpighiales; Euphorbiaceae
Source: RNAcentral